GACGAACGCUGGCGGCGUGCUUAACACAUGCAAGUCGAACGAUGAAGCGCCAGCUUGCUGGUGUGGAUUAGUGGCGAACGGGUGAGUAACACGUGAGUAACCUGCCCCCUACUCUGGGAUAAGCCUGGGAAACUGGGUCUAAUACUGGAUAUGACCACUCACUGCAUGGUGUGUUGGUGGGAAGAUUUUUUGGUGGGGGAUUGACUCGCGGCCUAUCAGCUUGUUGGUGGGGUAAUGGCCUACCAAGGCGACGACGGGUAGCCGGCCUGAGAGGGCGACCGGCCACACUGGGACUGAGAUACGGCCCAGACUCCUACGGGAGGCAGCAGUGGGGAAUAUUGCACAAUGGGCGAAAGCCUGAUGCAGCGACGCCGCGUGAGGGAUGACGGCCUUCGGGUUGUAAACCUCUUUCACCAGGGACGAAGCUAACGUGACGGUACCUGGAGAAGAAGCACCGGCUAACUACGUG
This 469-nucleotide ribosomal RNA is filed under the name uncultured bacterium. Its description in RNAcentral is "partial 16S ribosomal RNA". It matches the Rfam family "Bacterial small subunit ribosomal RNA", at positions 28 to 507 of the family's 1533-position model. The record is from RNAcentral.